This 253-nucleotide ribosomal RNA is filed under the name uncultured bacterium. Its description in RNAcentral is "partial 16S ribosomal RNA". It matches the Rfam family "Bacterial small subunit ribosomal RNA", at positions 524 to 776 of the family's 1533-position model. The record is from RNAcentral.
UACAGAGGUCUCAAGCGUUGUUCGGAUUCACUGGGCGUAAAGGGUGCGUAGGCGGGUCUUUAAGUCAGGGGUGAAAUCCUGGAGCUCAACUCCAGAACUGCCUUUGAUACUGAAGAUCUUGAGUUCGGGAGAGGUGAGUGGAACUGCGAGUGUAGAGGUGAAAUUCGUAGAUAUUCGCAAGAACACCCGUGGCGAAGGCGGCUCUCUGGGACGGUACUGACGCUGAGACGCGAAAGCGUGGGGAGCGAACAGG